AGCUUAGACAAACAUUCAAGCUGCUUCUACUUUUUUCUUUAAGAGAAAAAACAAAUAACGAUUCAGAGGACCGAAUGCAAAAAGGAGAAAAAUGGCAGAGAAAUUGGCUUCAGAGCAACGCCACUGCUUCGUCCACAAUGGCCAGAAGGUGUUCGAGUGGGGUCAAACACUGGAAGAGGUGAAUUUGUACAUCACCCUUCCACCAAAUGUUCCGAAGAAACUGUUUAACUAGGAUGAUGUAAUGCAUAUAACCUUGCAAAAGAGAGACAAAGGUCAGACGUGGUCUUCUCCUAUUGUAGGUCGAGGCCAGUUGGAUCCUUCCACCACAGACCUCGAUCAAAAACGCCUCAUGCUUCAAUGAUUUCAAGAGGAGGUACACUAUCUCCUUGUUCUUUAGCCAAAUUUGAACUUACAGUUAUUGUAUUGCCAUGUCUCUUCCUUCUUUCUUGACAUUUUUUAUUUCAAUGUAAGCAUAUCCCUAUUAUGUGAAGUGCUGAAAAGUCUGGGCAUCAAUGUAUACUGAGUGUAUGGCUAGAUAGGAUUCCCAGUGGACAAUUUGGUCCCCUUUUCGUCUCACCCUCUCCGGGUCCAAGAUCUUACUUUGAAGCAAUCUCUUGAGAUUUCCCUUAUCUGUACCGUUAAUGCAAGAAAUAAAAUAUCAUAUUCAGCUGUUUGGGAAGAUCCUCUAUAUUGUAGUAAUUUAAUAUUUAAUGCUCAUGUUAUUUACUAUUUUUUUUACCUUUAAUAGAACAAUCCAACAUUUGCUCUUUUGGGGUUAAGAUUUUUUCACAUUCUUCGUUUGGUACUGGUUGACCUUGUUGUACAUGAUAUGUUUUCCAUCUGCAUAAUAUAUUUCACUUACAUUUUUGGUGUUUUUCUUUUUUGAGUCGUGUUUGGAAAUGAAAAUUAGGUUUUCUAAUUUUGGGCUUUGUGUUGUGUGCCUUGCUAUAAUCUACUUGGCAUAUUGAUAUUAGGUUUGAAGUAGUUUGAAAAUUGAUAACAGAGAAAAUUAUGAAGAAAGAAAAUAUGCAUGUCGGACAAAUCCUAGAUGUUGUAAGAGGUGAAAAACUUUAUAUUGCCUUGAAGAAGUGUUCUUUUAUGAGUAACAACUUGGUAUUUGAGGUUAAACAGAAAUCAUGAGAACCAUCAACGCUUAUGGAGUGUAUACCUAUAGUCUAUUAGCGAAGUUCAUAGCUUCCACCAAACAGCUUUUCUCUCUCUCAAGAGGUUCUUAUUCAAAAUUUUAGUGCAAUAAUGAGCCCUAUAUUGAAUUGUCAAUUGUGGUUUGGUAAGUCUAAAUGGAUUGCACCUUUCUAUA
Long non-coding RNA from Olea europaea var. sylvestris, 1318 nucleotides. RefSeq lists it as uncharacterized. The transcript is spliced from 3 exons. The record is from RefSeq and is a predicted model, not a curated record. Lineage: Eukaryota; Viridiplantae; Streptophyta; Magnoliopsida; Lamiales; Oleaceae.